CGGGUGAGUAACACGUGGGUAACCUGCCUGUAAGACUGGGAUAACUCCGGGAAACCGGAGCUAAUACCGGAUAGUUCCUUGAACCGCAUGGUUCAAGGAUGAAAGACGGUUUCGGCUGUCACUUACAGAUGGACCCGCGGCGCAUUAGCUAGUUGGUGAGGUAACGGCUCACCAAGGCGACGAUGCGUAGCCGACCUGAGAGGGUGAUCGGCCACACUGGGACUGAGACACGGCCCAGACUCCUACGGGAGGCAGCAGUAGGGAAUCUUCCGCAAUGGACGAAAGUCUGACGGAGCAACGCCGCGUGAGUGAUGAAGGUUUUCGGAUCGUAAAGCUCUGUUGUUAGGGAAGAACAAGUGCAAGAGUAACUGCUUGCACCUUGACGGUACCUAACCAGAAAGCCACGGCUAACUACGUGCCAGCAGCCGCGGUAAUACGUAGGUGGCAAGCGUUGUCCGGAAUUAUUGGGCGUAAAGGGCUCGCAGGCGGUUUCUUAAGUCUGAUGUGAAAGCCCCCGGCUCAACCGGGGAGGGUCAUUGGAAACUGGGAAACUUGAGUGCAGAAGAGGAGAGUGGAAUUCCACGUGUAGCGGUGAAAUGCGUAGAGAUGUGGAGGAACACCAGUGGCGAAGGCGACUCUCUGGUCUGUAACUGACGCUGAGGAGCGAAAGCGUGGGGAGCGAACAGGAUUAGAUACCCUGGUAGUCCACGCCGUAAACGAUGAGUGCUAAGUGUUAGGGGGUUUCCGCCCCUUAGUGCUGCAGCUAACGCAUUAAGCACUCCGCCUGGGGAGUACGGUCGCAAGACUGAAACUCAAAGGAAUUGACGGGGGCCCGCACAAGCGGUGGAGCAUGUGGUUUAAUUCGAAGCAACGCGAAGAACCUUACCAGGUCUUGACAUCCUCUGACAACCCUAGAGAUAGGGCUUUCCCUUCGGGGACAGAGUGACAGGUGGUGCAUGGUUGUCGUCAGCUCGUGUCGUGAGAUGUUGGGUUAAGUCCCGCAACGAGCGCAACCCUUGAUCUUAGUUGCCAGCAUUCAGUUGGGCACUCUAAGGUGACUGCCGGUGACAAACCGGAGGAAGGUGGGGAUGACGUCAAAUCAUCAUGCCCCUUAUGACCUGGGCUACACACGUGCUACAAUGGACAGAACAAAGGGCUGCGAGACCGCAAGGUUUAGCCAAUCCCACAAAUCUGUUCUCAGUUCGGAUCGCAGUCUGCAACUCGA
Molecule: ribosomal RNA, 1225 nt
Filed under: Bacillus sp. (in: firmicutes)
Lineage: Bacteria; Bacillati; Bacillota; Bacilli; Caryophanales; Bacillaceae
Description: bacterial SSU rRNA
Rfam family: Bacterial small subunit ribosomal RNA
Source: RNAcentral